CAGCCACGGUAAGGCAGGAAAGAAGUAAUGCGAGGAAUUAGCAAGCCGCGUUGGGAAACCGAACAGUGGGACAAAGAUGCAUAAUACAUGGUUGGAACAAUGAUGGACGUUGUCGGUAAAUAGAUAAGAGAAAGACAGCGAAUGAAAGUGAUCAGAGACCGAGUGACAAACAGGAGAGGGGAUGAAAGUCUUUGGAUUUUGUUUAAUCUUCCAAGAGAAACAGGGAACGACAAGCGCGUUUAGUAGUGCGGUACACGUCGACCAGUGAUGUUGUUCUUUCUCGUGCCACGUAAACCGGUAUGUAGCGAUCAUACAUAGUGCCUUGUGUUCGACAUAUUUCUCCAGUGAAUUUCUCCGUCGUGAUACCGAUCUGGAAUAAAAAUUUUGAACGUAUGGUUCACGCAGUGUACAUGAUCGUGUUGCAGUGAGUCAGAGAACAAGACCGAACGGAGGAAGGACGUGGCUCGUUGAAACUCGUGACACAGCGGAGUGAUCGAAACGUGGUGGAAAUUCCAUCGUUUCUUUAGUUUUACGCUCGUAUCGUUCGCGUGUUACCUUCUCUAACCGUCUGUCACCUGGUCGAGCUUGACCCGAUUGUCUCUGCCGGCAGAUUGCAGGAAUAUCCCGAGUUGCUGAGUGCUUCUCGCGGCUCCGAAUCGGGACAAGGGAAACGUCGUGGCGUGUUUAAUAUCAUCGUCAAGCACGAUGGCUUGCGAAUCGCUUAAGUAUACCUCGGGAAAGCAGCAUCGGGCGGUGUUUAGCCAGCACGGCCGAGGAAGACGUUGAGAAGCGGACGAAUGAGGCUGCUGCUGAUGAUGAUGAUGUUGUAUAAAUUCUGUCUGUGUCUGUGUCCUGGCGUGCAGCUCAAACGAUGGCCGAUUCACGCGGCUUCAAGCCAAUAAACCAGUUGUGGCAGAGCGCGGCAGUGUCGACGGACCCGGAUUCGGAGUGUCUCUACGAAGAAAUCUCGGGACUUUCGGGGUCCCAGGAUACGGAGCCAGGGCCGGCUGGUGCCGCCGUCGGGGAGGAGGAGGAGGAGGAGGAGGAGGAGGAAGAGGAAGAGGAAGAAGAAGAAGAAGAAGAAGAGGAAGAGGAGGAGGAAGAACGAGGAGCGAGACGACUCGAUUUUGGUGCACAGGUCGGCGGUAGCAGCUGGUGGAGACAUCACAAUAAAGGAGGAAGCGAGAGGAACGUCGGUAACGCGGCGGGUACUGGGAGCGGACGUAAGAGUAGCAAAAGUGUCGGGACUAGCGCGGGAUCGCGCAGCAGGUCGGCCGAUCGGCCAUCGAGCGGACGUCGUAACAUCAUCAGGGUGGAGGAGGAGCAGUAUGCCUCACGAAGAAGUUACGUGGAGUCCGGUACAGGCGCCAUACUGCCGCCUCCUGCUACCGGCCACAAGCUGACCAGGGGGCGUGCAACCAACACCGUCGCCCGCUAUUUACAUUCCGCCUCCACCAACACCGGUCACUACCAUCAUCAUCAUCACGGGUUGCACGGACAGUAUCCGGCCGGAAGUACCGGCAGGCAUCACCAGCAUCAUCACCCAAGCCGCGGCUCGUUCAGUAAUGAGACGCAGGAAGAGAUACAGGAGGACGAUGAAGCCACUCUACGGGAGUUGCUUGUAAGUCUGCAGAAACAGGUCAGCGUUAUGAGUAUGAACUUGAGUGCCAAGCUGGACGAGCUGCAGCGGGGUGACCGCCAGCUGGAGACCACCGUCGCCCUCUGCGAGAUCCGCACCCAGCUGCAGGAACUCACCAAGAGCGUAGAGUCUUGCCAGAGCGAGGUCAGCGAGGUGAAACGGGACAUGGUCGCGAUCAAGCAUGAACUAGAUACAGUACAACAGGUGAAAGAAGAGAUAGAGGAAUUACGAGAAUACGUGGAUCGACUCGAAGAACAUUCUCAUCGACGGAAACUUAGACUUUUGGAGCAGGGGCUAACGCUUUUCCUGUCGUAUGCAAUACUGGCAGCAGUUUUAGGGAUGUUGCAGUUUGGAUACAACACUGGAGUCAUUAAUGCGCCGGAAGUGAAUAUUGAAAAUUUUAUGAAAGACGUGUACAAGGAUAGGUAUGGAGAAGACAUUUCAGACGAUUCGGUGAAGAAAUUGUAUUCGGUGGCAGUGAGCAUAUUCGCGAUCGGUGGUAUGCUAGGUGGUUUUAGCGGAGGAAUAAUUGCCAACAGAUUUGGCAGAAAGGGGGGCUUACUGCUAAACAACGUGCUGGGCAUCGUGGGGGCGUGCCUGAUGGGUUGUACAAAGAUUGCUCAUUCGUACGAAAUGUUAUUCUUCGGACGGUUCAUCAUCGGUGUCAAUUGUGGCUUAAACACCUCGCUGGUUCCCAUGUACAUAUCGGAGAUAGCACCAUUGAACCUGAGAGGCGGCCUAGGCACGGUGAACCAGCUCGCUGUUACGGUGGGCCUCCUGGUCUCCCAGGUGCUGGGCAUCGAACAAAUCCUUGGAACGAACGAGGGUUGGCCGGUUCUCUUAGGGCUAGCUGUCUGCCCUGCCAUUCUACAGUUGUUGCUGCUUCCAGUUUGCCCUGAAUCUCCAAGAUAUUUGCUCAUUACCAAACAGUGGGAGGAAGAAGCCCGUAAAGCUUUGAGAAGGUUGAGAGCCAGUAACCAAGUGGAGGAAGACAUCGAGGAAAUGAGAGCGGAAGAGCGGGCUCAACAAGCCGAGUCUCGAAUAUCGAUGACAGAGCUCAUAUGUAGCCCGACUUUAAGAGCACCCCUCGUUAUCGGUGUGGUUAUGCAACUUUCCCAACAGCUUUCAGGCAUUAAUGCUGUGUUUUACUAUUCGACAAAUUUGUUCACUAGUUCUGGUUUGACAGAGGAGAGUGCCAAGUUUGCAACCAUUGGCAUAGGUGCCAUUAUGGUUUGUAUGACGUUAGUAUCCAUCCCGCUUAUGGAUAGAACCGGAAGACGUACGCUCCACUUGUACGGUCUUGGUGGCAUGUUUAUCUUUUCAAUAUUCAUCACAAUUUCUUUUCUGAUAAAGGAGUUUUUCGGUUAUGUGCAGGAAAUGAUUGAUUGGAUGUCUUAUCUGUCGGUCGUGUCGACGCUCAGUUUCGUCGUGUUCUUUGCUGUUGGGCCUGGCUCCAUCCCUUGGAUGAUCACGGCCGAGCUGUUCUCGCAAGGUCCUAGACCUGCCGCCAUGUCUAUCGCGGUCCUUGUCAAUUGGAUGGCUAAUUUUUUGGUUGGCAUUGGUUUUCCAAGUAUGAAGACUAGCCUUGAAAACUACACGUUCCUACCAUUCAGUGCAUUCCUAGCCAUCUUCUGGAUCUUCACGUACAAGAAGGUUCCUGAGACCAAGAAUAAAACGUUCGAGGAAAUUCUAGCUUUAUUCAGGCACGGUAACGACAGCAGGAGCAGCUUGCGGGACAGCAGACUUUAUGGGAGCAUGCUAAACUGUGUGAAUGCAUUAGAGGGACACAUACCGCCAGCAGAGAGUGCAGCCCUGAUGGUGGCCGAGGAGAAGCCACAUCCUGAUUCAUUAUGAUUCAAAAGUGCAGAGGAAUCAAAAGUGCUGAUUAUAUGAAAAAAAAUAAAUAAAAAUCAAAAAUAUUCUAUUGCUGCUUCGCUACUACAAGACAUAACAAGUGGUCCUAGCAGAGAAACAAUAUCACACUAGUACUUAUAAUAUAUUUUCGUAUUGACAAAUUUCGAAAAUUAUUAGAGGAGUGCAAGUGAACGACACGAUGUCAUUUCCAAUCGUUGAUGUAUCAUAACUAAUACCUUAGAAAUCCAAAAUUUAAUCGUAUCAAUAUUUUUAUAAGCAUUGCUAAAAAUUUUCUUUGGAAUCCCAGGAAAAAUUAAUCUCUUAAAUUACGAAGAAUGCAAUUUAUUAUUUAAACCAUAUUAUUUUUUUUUUGUCAAGAAGAAAAGUAAUUGAAUCAAAUUCACUGUCACUUUAUGCAACUCUUUGCAUUUCAUUGGUCAUAGUCCAAAUUUUUUAGCUUCUUCUUUUCAUGAACUCACACUGCUUCAGCCAAAUACUCACACCAUACACUUGAUUGAAAGUUGAAUAUAUAGUUGAAGUAAUUUUCUUUCAAUAUAGAGCUUAUAUUUCUGACGAUGUUGCAAAAUAUGUGAAUAAUAGUUAUUGUAAAUAAAGAAUUAUUGUGAAUAGAAAAUAUAGGAUAUAAGAUGAAUUUCAUUGUAAUUAUUAUUUUUUAAUUAUAGUCUAACAAAGUAUCAGUAUUAUAAGCUCUAUGAUUUCCAUCUAUGUCUCUCUUCUGUCAUCUGUGUGUGUAAUAUGUAUGGUAAUCUGUUGUCCGAUUAUAUACAUAUGUAUAUCUAAUUCUAGUCAAUUCUAAGUACUCUUAUCAUUAUUCUAAAUAAAAUUGGUAGAUAUAUUGUCUUCAUUUCGAAGAAAAAAAAAAAAUAUAUAUAUAUAUAUACUUAUGCGCUAUUUAACACUGGCCUUUGUAGUAGUUUCAAUGGAGGUAGGCCAUUUAAGGAUAUGCAAUAACACACAUGGGUCGUCAUAGAUCAGUUUAUAAAAUGCUAUAAGACAUAAAGGAAUAAGGAGUGUUGAGAAAAACAUGCAAUGAUUAUAAGAACAAAUUGUUAUCCACAUUAAUAUUAUUUUUUUAUAUGAAACUGUAAAACCGACUUGAAAAAUACUAAAUGCAGUUGGAGCAUGAGUGGUGUUGUAAUGUGGCAUGUCAGCAUGAAUGUAAUUUCAUUUAUUUGGAUUAAAAAAUGAAAGAAGAAUUCUGAAUAGUUUAAUAUUAAUUCUCAUGCACUUUCAUUUCAAUAAUUUUUUUUUUAUUAUCCUUAAGCUUAUCAUUUAUACGAGAAGUAACAUUAAAAGACAUUUAGGCAAUUGAUUUAAAAAAAAAAAAAUUUUUAAAUAAAUAGUACACGUGCUUAAGAUAAUUGAAUGCUUUUCAAAAGCAAUUAUUUCACUUGCUGAACACAACAUUUCAAGGUAUAUCAAAUGUAUCCAUCAUUAACUCUUGAAUGAUGGACAGCUGAAGACGGGUUUUGUAGUAAUAAAUUUCAAGAAAUUUAGAUAAUGUUUUUUCUGAUGAACUUUUACGUUCUUAUAGAGAUUGACCCAUCUUCGACGUAUUCGAGGGUUAAUAACCAUAAACACACUGCACAUGUAUAAAACUUAAGGAGUUAUUAUCAUUGUUCUAUUUUCCAGGUGUUUAUAAAACAUUUUUUGGGAAUUAAAAUUUACUGCACGGAAAAAGAGAAGAGAACGAAAUUACUUUUUAGCUGAUAUUUUAAUAACGAAUUCAUUUCUUAGGAUACCGAUGACACAAACAAUUAAAUUCAUUUAUAUUUAUGUAUGAGAACAAUUAAAAUUCGAUCUCUAAGUUCAGUCUCAAAGUCGAAAUCAAGUUGUGUUUGCAGCUGGAUCCGAGCGAUCUUCCGGCGCACCCGCUCAACCGGAGAGACCACCGCCCCCGCUUCCCCCGCCACGCUUUC
Molecule: RNA transcript, 5433 nt
Organism: Osmia bicornis bicornis
Lineage: Eukaryota; Metazoa; Arthropoda; Insecta; Hymenoptera; Megachilidae
Gene: Glut1
Gene name: glucose transporter type 1
Exons: 16
Source: RefSeq, a predicted model, not a curated record